This 485-nucleotide ribosomal RNA is filed under the name uncultured bacterium. RNAcentral describes it as "partial 16S ribosomal RNA". It matches the Rfam family "Bacterial small subunit ribosomal RNA", at positions 28 to 507 of the family's 1533-position model. The record is from RNAcentral.
GAUGAACGCUAGCGACAGGCUUAACACAUGCAAGUCGAGGGGCAGCACAGGUAGCAAUACCGGGUGGCGACCGGCGCACGGGUGAGUAACGCGUAUGCAACUUACCUAUCAGAGGGGGAUAACCCGGCGAAAGUCGGACUAAUACCGCAUGAAGCAGGGGUCCCGCAUGGGGCUAUUUGCUAAAGAUUCAUCGCUGAUAGAUAGGCAUGCGUUCCAUUAGGCAGUUGGCGGGGUAACGGCCCACCAAACCGACGAUGGAUAGGGGUUCUGAGAGGAAGGUCCCCCACAUUGGUACUGAGACACGGACCAAACUCCUACGGGAGGCAGCAGUGAGGAAUAUUGAUCAAUGGCCGAGAGGCUGAACCAGCCAAGUCGCGUGAGGGAUGAAGGUCCUAUGGAUCGUAAACCUCUUUUAUAAGGGAAUAAAGUGCGGGACGUGUCCCGUUUUGUAUGUACCUUAUGAAUAAGGAUCGGCUAACUCCGUG